This 1666-nucleotide long non-coding RNA is filed under the name Acanthaster planci (crown-of-thorns starfish). Its description in RNAcentral is "uncharacterized LOC110982432". Lineage: Eukaryota; Metazoa; Echinodermata; Asteroidea; Valvatida; Acanthasteridae. The record is from RNAcentral.
UUACGCACAUUGUGACGGCCCAUAUGUUUGGUACUGAUAGGGCGUUUCCCGAGAGCGAUUGCGCAGUUCCAGUGGAGUCUUCAGACACUGCAAAAGGUGAAACUUUCAGAUAGUACCUUUGCGAAGAUUCUCCUCCAGUCAUGAAGUGGACUUUGGCAGUCAUCUCUCUUCUUGUUUGCCUGGGUACGGCGCAUGCUCUGAAUUGCUACCAGUGUGCGUUGGGAACAUGCAACGACCCAUUCAACAAAGCUCAGGCAAACAACACAGCAUGCGGGUCUGCAGGCGACGCAUGCGUGAAAAUCAAAGCUGGCGGCAACGUUCAACGCCAAUGUGGUAUCUCUGCCAGCUGCCUUGACGCGUUGACCGGUGGGCCAAACAGCUGUAAGACCAUUUCUGUGCUUGGAGUCGACACAACAUCUUGCUGUUGCACCUCUGCACUUUGCAACAGCGCCACCACUCGUCGCGUCAACUACGCUGUGGUGUCUGCAAUGUUGCUUUUGAUCAAAGCUGCUUUUUAAAUGUCAAAGGCAGCUGUAAUUGCCUAUGGUAUUUGUAGCAAACAUAUUACUUAAAUAAAACGUAGAAAGCUCAUAAUUUCCAAGUGAAGUCUCAAAUUACGCUCUUUUAAUUUUCCUCCUUGCAAAUUUCCCUCUAAACUCUAGAAAUAAAUUAGUGGCCCAAUUUGCACUCUUCGAAAUUAUAUUAAAUUAAGAAGAAACAAAGCCAAAUGAAUAAUUUUCUCGAAUUUCUCUCGUGUUCCAUUUGACUUUCCUGGGAUUGUUCAUCUUCGUGAUGAAUGAGGAUUGUAGGACGGGGUGAGAUAAAAUGAAGAUUCAAAUCAUCAUAUAAUUGUUGUCAGACCUGUGAAUUAAACAUUCCUAGCUUACUGCUGAACAGGUGGCUUUCUGGUAUUUUUUAAACUACAUUCCUAAAUCAUUUGUUUAUUGUUUCUGUGACAUUCCAUUAUGUUUCACACAUACUGGAAUUUUACGUUGAUUUUUCUGUCUCUUCAUCAAGGUCAUUGAACAACGGCUAAAUGAUUCACUUUGUCAUUCUUAAACUAAGUCUUUGAUCAUUCUUUGAAUACAUUCAAGGUUCACUUUGAACAAUGAUCCUUAAGAAAUCUUUCUCAUUGCUGAUUCCGCGUGAGGAACUGACAAAUGAAAGCCUAUGACAAACUUGCAUUAUCCAUCAGAAAUGAAAUAUUUUCAAGAACUCUGCACUUGAUCACGUUUGAGCCAUUUCAUUGAAAUGAGUCACAACAAGAUCAACUAAGUACUAAGAUGGAUGCCAAUAUAUGUACUUUUUUCAAAAGGCUUGGAAUCACUGAAGUCAAACGACUUUUGUUUAAUCCAGGGGAUCCGCAUAACCCUUAAAAUCUGCACAAACCGAGGCUGGUAACUGCACUUAAGAAUAAAACUAUUAAAUGAUAAUGCCGAGUUCGAGGCUAGAUUGUGGUCACGUGCCACACUCAGUUCCUUAUGCAGACAAUAGUUUGCUUGUGUAAUUACAUGUAUUGUCUUUUUUAUUCUCAAGGAAAGGAGCGUUGCUAGAAAAUGUAGUAAAACAGUGCCUGUGAUUGUCGAAAAAUGUGUUUUGCAUCUCAAAAUUCUGAAAAUAGGUUUCUGAGGAAAUAAAUUGAUAGAAUAAAACCAUGAAGAAUGUU